Molecule: ribosomal RNA, 497 nt
Filed under: uncultured bacterium
Lineage: Bacteria
Description: partial 16S ribosomal RNA
Rfam family: Bacterial small subunit ribosomal RNA
Source: RNAcentral
GAUGAACGCUGGCGGCGUGCCUAAUACAUGCAAGUCGAGCGAACAGAUGAGGAGCUUGCUCCUCUGACGUUAGCGGCGGACGGGUGAGUAACACGUGGAUAACCUACCUAUAAGACUGGGAUAACUUCGGGAAACCGGAGCUAAUACCGGAUAAUAUAUUGAACCGCAUGGUUCAAUAGUGAAAGACGGUUUUGCUGUCACUUAUAGAUGGAUCCGCGCCGCAUUAGCUAGUUGGUAAGGUAACGGCUUACCAUGGCAACGAUGCGUAGCCGACCUGAGAGGGUGAUCGGCCACACUGGAACUGAGACACGGUCCAGACUCCUACGGGAGGCAGCAGUAGGGAAUCUUCCGCAAUGGGCGAAAGCCUGACGGAGCAACGCCGCGUGAGUGAUGAAGGUCUUCGGAUCGUAAAACUCUGUUAUUAGGGAAGAACAAAUGUGUAAGUAACUAUGCACGUCUUGACGGUACCUAAUCAGAAAGCCACGGCUAACUACGUG